RNAcentral lists this ribosomal RNA (253 nucleotides) under uncultured bacterium. Its description in RNAcentral is "partial 16S ribosomal RNA". It matches the Rfam family "Bacterial small subunit ribosomal RNA", at positions 524 to 776 of the family's 1533-position model. The record is from RNAcentral.
GACGAAGGAUACAAGCGUUAUCCGGAUUCAUUGGGUUUAAAGGGAGCGUAGGUGGACUUGUAAGUCAGUGGUGAAAUCUUUGGGCUUAACCCAGAAACUGCCAUUGAUACUGCAGGUCUAGAGUACAGUUGCCGUUGGCGGAAUAUGACAUGUAGUGGUGAAAUACUUAGAUAUGUCAUAGAACACCGAUUGCGAAGGCAGCUAACGAAGCUGUAACUGACACUGAGGCUCGAAAGUGCGGGGAUCAAACAGG